AGAGUUUGAUCAUGGCUCAGGAUGAACGCUAGCGGGAGGCUUAACACAUGCAAGUCGAGGGGCAGCAUUAUCGCUUGCGAUAGAUGGCGACCGGCGAACGGGUGCGUAACGCGUAUGCAACUUACCCUUUACUGAAGAAUAGCCCAGAGAAAUUUGGAUUAAUACUUCAUGGUAUUACAAAUUCGCAUGUUUUUGUAAUUAAAGUUUUAACGGUAAAGGAUGGGCAUGCGUGACAUUAGUUUGUUGGUGAGGUAAUGGCUCACCAAGACUACGAUGUCUAGGGGUUCUGAGAGGAUGAUCCCCCACACUGGUACUGAGACACGGACCAGACUCCUACGGGAGGCAGCAGUGAGGAAUAUUGGACAAUGGAGGCAACUCUGAUCCAGCCAUCCCGCGUGCAGGAUGACGGCUCUCGGGUUGUAAACCCCUUUCAGCAGGGACGAAAAUGACGGUACCUGCAGAAGAAGCUCCGGCCAACUACGUGCCAGCAGCCGCGGUAACACGUAGGGAGCAAGCGUUGUCCGGAUUUAUUGGGCGUAAAGAGCUCGUAGGCGGCUCAGUAAGUCGGGUGUGAAAUUUCAGGGCUUAACCCUGAAACGCCACCCGAUACUGCUGUGGCUAGAGUACGGUAGAGGAGUGUGGAAUUCCUGGUGUAGCGGUGAAAUGCGCAGAUAUCAGGAGGAACACCAACGGCGAAGGCAGCACUCUGGGCCGAUACUGACGCUGAGGAGCGAAAGCAUGGGGAGCAAACAGGAUUAGAUACCCUGGUAGUCCAUGCCGUAAACGUUGGGCACUAGAGCCGUUUGUUGACUUGAUCCGUGAGUGGCGCAGCUAACGCACUAAGUUGACCGCCUGGGGAGUACGGCCGCAAGGUUAAAACUCAAAUGAAUUGACGGGGGCCCGCACAAGCGGUGCAGCAUGUGGUUUAAUUCGAUGCAACGCGAAGAACCUUACCAUCCCUUGACAUCCAGAGAAGCGACAAGAGAUAGCUUAGUGCCUUCGGGAACUCUGUGACAGGUGCUGCAUGGCUGUCGUCAGCUCGUGUUGUGAAAUGUUGGGUUAAGUCCCGCAACGAGCGCAACCCCUAUCCUUAUUUGCCAGCGCGUUAUGGCGGGAACUCUAAGGAUACUGCUGGUGAUAAACCGGAGGAAGGUGGGGACGACGUCAAGUCAUCAUGGCCCUUAUGGGCUGGGCUACACACGUGCUACAAUGGCCGGUACAAAGGGUUGCCAACCCGCGAGGGGGAGCCAAUCCCACAAAACCGGUCGUAGUCCGGAUCGGAGUCUGCAACUCGACUCCGUGAAGUCGGAAUCGCUUAGUAAUCGUGAAUCAGAAUGUCACGGUGAAUACGUUCCCGGGCCUUGUACACACCGCCCGUCACACCAUGGGAGUUGGCUGCACCAGAAGCCGGUCGCCUAACCUUUCGGGGAGGGUGCCGUCCACGGUGUGGUUGAUGACUGGGGUGAAGUCGUAACAAGGUAACC
RNAcentral lists this ribosomal RNA (1484 nucleotides) under uncultured prokaryote. Its description in RNAcentral is "partial 16S ribosomal RNA". It matches the Rfam family "Bacterial small subunit ribosomal RNA". The record is from RNAcentral.